Long non-coding RNA from Nasonia vitripennis (jewel wasp), 785 nucleotides. RefSeq lists it as uncharacterized. NCBI's taxonomy places the organism in Eukaryota, Metazoa, Arthropoda, Insecta, Hymenoptera, Pteromalidae. The transcript has 4 exons. The record is from RefSeq and is a predicted model, not a curated record.
UUAUCACGGCAUUUUGUUUGCGAUAGCGAGUUCGGUGCGACGGAAUUUCGUCUUUGGUUCUGAUGAUAUAGAGCGGUUAAUUUAAUAAAUAGCGGUGUUACUUUUUCAAUUAGGCGAGUUACUAAUAAGAAAGUUAUCUGGUGCGAUCGUGUUAUACCUUGAAAAUUGAUUGAGUUCUAAAAUGUUCACGCAAACCGAGGAGAAGAGCAGUCCUGGCAAAGACCUACACCCGCACCUGCUCCGAAUCUCACUCUGCGGCAACUGAUUCGACGCUGGAAGUGCUCGACGUUAUUUUUCACGGGAGAAAAAAAGAGUUACAACCGCUGCGCGCAUACUCGGCAAGGCAGAAAAUGCUUUUCACGAAAUAAAGCUAUUAUCGCACCUCGUCGCAUAUUGGACAGUGUGUAUUGUAUCGGAGCCAAGUGCUUUGUGUAAAAAACUAGGUAUGUUCUUCUAUAAGCUGAAGCACUUCACGGUGCGCGAACUUCUGGAAAAAGUCGAGGUGGGUCUGAAGCUGCUACGUGAUUUUUUGAAGCAUCGAGCCAUGACGAUGGAUUUUUUAUUCGAGCUGGAUUUUAUCUGAAGAAAUUUUGAAACGUUUAUAUCGCUGAAAUUUCACCCGAUUACAUCUCUGAUCAGACAUUUAAAAGUGAAGUUCGUUGCGUCAUCCUAAACGAAGACUACUAGCACCAAGCAUUACUUGAAUUAAUUUCUGUGAAAAUGCAAUUUUUUCUAAAUAUCAAUAAGAUAUUAUUUCAUUUAAAUAUAUAAUCAUUAUAAUACAA